RNAcentral lists this ribosomal RNA (301 nucleotides) under uncultured bacterium. Its description in RNAcentral is "partial 16S ribosomal RNA". It matches the Rfam family "Bacterial small subunit ribosomal RNA", at positions 509 to 807 of the family's 1533-position model. The record is from RNAcentral.
CAGUCGCCACGGGAAUACGUAGGUGGCAAGCGUUGUCCGGAAUUAUUGGGCGUAAAGGGCUCGCAGGCGGUUUCGUAAGUCUGAUGUUAAAGCCCCCGGCUCAACCGGGGAGGGUCAUUGGAAACUGGGAAACUUGAGUGCAGAAGAGGAGAGUGGAAUUCCACGUGUAGCGGUGAAAUGCGUAGAGAUGUGGAGGAACACCAGUGGCGAAGGCGACUCUCUGGUCUGUAACUGACGCUGAGGAGCGAAAGCGUGGGGAGCGAACAGGAUUAGAUACCCGCGUAGUCCCUGUCUCUUAUAC